CCCAAAUAGACAACGUCAGGCAGUUCUACACGAACCGUAAGCUGCAGGACUUGAAACAUUACUCGAAGCACGUGGGGCGGGCCCUAGUAUGGGUUCAGACUCUGACGAAGCAUAAGGCGUACAGCAAGUAGCACAACACAACCGUACUAGUGCGGGCAGGCAAAAACAAAGCUGGCGCUGAAAGUGAUAAAUCUCCUUAACUACCGCCACUACAGCCGGUCUGGGACCGUCACCACCGGACAUGCCGAUGACGGACCUGUCCGUUGCCGGAGAUUACCGGUUUCUUCAUAAAGGCAGGAGCGUGUCGAUGUACUUCAGCAGAAUACUACGGACAUGCAGAUUCACAGUCCCCAACCGAAUAGCGAUGCCAGAUCAACCAGAUCCGGAACCAGCAGCACAAUGGGUCACCGCAUAUGAUCAAGGCAGGCGGCCGCGACGGAAGUGGUGAUGUGCAGCUGUUUCAACAAUGUGCCAGACGAUGUGUUAGGUUCCUCGAAGGGCAUUUGGAUGCACUGGAACCAAUCGCCCGGGAGGACCGAUAGGCUACCAUGAAAUCCGACCCAGAUAGACCAGAUUGUUGAUGAUUUGUUUUAUCAAUUUGAUCUCUGUUACCAGAAAAAAGGUUUACCGAUGACUGAAAGAUGGAUGCUGGCUCCCAACACCAAGAUUGUGUUCUACGACAACAAUUGUACCAUUCUGCAACGUCUGUACAGCAAAAGCAUCUUGGUGGUGUGCAACAUGAUUGGCCGACUGCCAAUUUCCUGUCCUAGAUGCGGCCAAGCUGACCAACGCCGUCUUCAACUUGGACACCGAAAGUAAAUUCUAGUCAGCGUACAGCGACCAACACGCCUAUCUUCAGCCUGAAGUCGGUGAAUUCCGCCGAGAGGCUGCUCGUGGAACACUCGCUUGACACGGAUGUGGUCCAUGGCUACCUCGAGCUUUUAUGGCUUCGGGUAACGGUAACAAGGAAAAAGCUCACCCUGAGCAGU
Molecule: long non-coding RNA, 989 nt
Organism: Culex quinquefasciatus (southern house mosquito)
Lineage: Eukaryota; Metazoa; Arthropoda; Insecta; Diptera; Culicidae
Exons: 4
Source: RefSeq, a predicted model, not a curated record